UACGGGGGGGGUAAGCGUUGUUCGGAAUUACUGGGCGUAAAGGGCUCGUAGGCGGCCAACUAAGUCAGACGUGAAAUCCCUCAGCUUAACUGGGGAACUGCGUCUGAUACUGGAUGGCUUGGAUUCGGGAGAGGAAUGCGGAAUUCCAGGUGUAGCGGUGAAAUGCGUAGAUAUCUGGAGGAACACCGGUGGCGAAGGCGGCAUUCUGGACCGAUAUUGACGCUGAGGAGCGAAAGUGUGGGGAGCGAACAGG
This 253-nucleotide ribosomal RNA is filed under the name uncultured bacterium. Its description in RNAcentral is "partial 16S ribosomal RNA". It matches the Rfam family "Bacterial small subunit ribosomal RNA", at positions 524 to 776 of the family's 1533-position model. The record is from RNAcentral.